AAUGUAUGGCAAAAACCACAAUAUUGUAAAGUAACUAGCCUCCAAUUAAAAAAAAAGAUGAAAAAAAAAUGAAAAUGAGGUCAUUAGUGUGGGUCCUAAUCUAGUGAUUGGUGUCCACAUAAAAGGGGCAAUUUGGAGACACAUCUACAGAAAGAACGGUGUGUGAACCCAAGCACAGCUGUCUCUGCGCCAAGGAGAGCAGCCUGGGAUGGCUCCUCUGACAACUCAGAAGAACCAAUUCUGCCGAUGCCCUGAUUUCAGACCUCUAGCUUCCAGAACUGUGAGACUUUAAUUUUCUGUUGCUGAAGUUACUUAAUUUGUGCUGCUUUGUUACAGCAGCCUAUCCAAUGAAUACAAUUAGGAGCAAGUUGGCUCUUUGAAGGCACUGGUAGCAUCCUGAUAGCAUGGAAUUGUCGUGGAGAGGUGAGGCAUAGAUGUUUCCAGCCAUUCUGGAAACAGAAGUGGAUCGCAUCUGGAAUUCCACUCUUUGGGUAAACAUGAGCUGGGAUUCCAGAAAGUGUUUACAAGGUUCAUUUCCCUUAGACGAGGGAGAAAGGUGACUCAUACUGUGGUAUUAAAUAAUGACAGUAAUAUGUAUUUUCAAGGACUAGGAAUACACCAAAACAAGUAGGUUGUGUGAAAUGGCCAGCCUGAAUCAUCGGAUCCUUUUUAAAGAAAUAAAAACAUUUAGCACACACAAUAACUGAAGCAGGGUAAAUGAUUUGGCUCCUAGUAGAAACUGCUAAAUCACUUAUGUUCAUGACUGAGCAGAAAAUUAUUUUAUACAAAUGUGGUAUUCUGUUUAGAGGUGAAGAUCUUCUUCAAGUGAUGUUUCCUAGUGAGGGCUUCAAUAGUCUAGUUAUUUUUAUAAAAAUGUUUAGCCAGCUUUUAAUUUUAUUUUAUUUAAAACAGGUAUUUUUCAAACUGCUAUAUAGGGAACAUGGUUCCAAGCUAUGAAAAUGCAUCGCCUUUCUUAUAUUAGAUGCACUGAAUGAUCCGCCAUCAGUCUUGUGACUUUGUUGCUGUUCAGGCACUCACCCGCGUCUGCCUCUUUCUGACCCUGUGGGCUGCAGCACACUAGGCUUCCCUGUCCUUCCCUAUCU
RNAcentral lists this long non-coding RNA (1103 nucleotides) under Capra hircus (goat). Its description in RNAcentral is "lncRNA (ENSCHIG00010015982.1)". The record is from RNAcentral. Lineage: Eukaryota; Metazoa; Chordata; Mammalia; Artiodactyla; Bovidae.